CCGCACGGGUGAGUAACACGUAUCCAACCUGCCGUCUACUCUUGGACAGCCUUCUGAAAGGAAGAUUAAUACAAGAUGGCAUCAUGAGUCCGCAUGUUCACAUGAUUAAAGGUAUUCCGGUAGACGAUGGGGAUGCGUUCCAUUAGAUAGUAGGCGGGGUAACGGCCCACCUAGUCUUCGAUGGAUAGGGGUUCUGAGAGGAAGGUCCCCCACAUUGGAACUGAGACACGGUCCAA
Molecule: ribosomal RNA, 236 nt
Filed under: uncultured bacterium
Lineage: Bacteria
Description: partial 16S ribosomal RNA
Rfam family: Bacterial small subunit ribosomal RNA
Source: RNAcentral